This 865-nucleotide long non-coding RNA is filed under the name Pan paniscus (pygmy chimpanzee). Its description in RNAcentral is "lncRNA (ENSPPAG00000044154.1)". Lineage: Eukaryota; Metazoa; Chordata; Mammalia; Primates; Hominidae. The record is from RNAcentral.
GCUCUGAGAGUCUGAGAUUUAAAGGCCCCUAGAAUGGAAACCUGAGGGCCAAGGGCUCCUGUCUGUCCUUUUCCAUCCUAUAUCUGCUGUGAAGAACCAUAGCUGGCCCGUAUGUGCUCAGUAACUGUUUGUUGAAUGAAGGCACCUUUCUAAAUCACAAGCUGGCAGAAGGGUGGGCCUUCCUGAGACUCCCUCUCUAGAGGUUUAUGUUACUGUCCUUUUGAGAGAAUCCAGAUUCAGACUUUGAGUUCUGUGGCUCUGGGCAAAAACCAACAAAGACCCAAAUCCUCUGUCCUUGGGAGCUUGAAGAGGGUUGACCAGUUCGUGUCGCCAUUGGGUCUGAGAAUGUUGCCUUUAAAAUCCAUUCCUGGUCCCUGCCUACCGCUUCCAGGUCUGGGGAAUAGAGUUGAGGGGGCCACUCUCAGUCACCUGAAUUUGACUCUCCCCACAGAAACAGCAGAAGAAACAAGUGGAACAUCAGCUGGAAGAAGCAAAGAAAGCAAACAAUGAAAUACACAAAGCACAAAUGGAGCAGUUAGAGACAAUCAACAUCCUCACAUUGGAAAAGGCAGACUUGAAGACCACCCUUUACCAUACUAAACGUGCUGCCCGACACUUCGAAGAAGAGUCCAAGGAUCUGGCUGGCCGCCUGCAAUACGCCUUACAGCGUAUUCAAGAAUUGGAGCGGGCUCUCUGUGCUGUGUGUACACAGCAGCAGGAAGAGGACAGGGUGAGUCCAACCAGCUGCCCCAUCCCCUGGCAGCCUGGCUUCCCAGAUGGAGGAGUGAGCCUAAAGGUCCCUUCUGCAGGAUGGAGUGUCCUGCCACGAAGGCAGCAUGGUCAUUUCUCACUGCUUUGUGUAUGG